CCAAAGUGCAGAAAAGAUGAAAAAAUGAGAAGAUAAAGCAUGCCGACUGUAUAAGUAAGCAAAUUUGUUCUUUUAAAACAGAGUGUCACUUUCAGAAGUUGCUGGAGUGACCAGUGCAGUUUUUACAUGGCUUACAAAUUUAAGAAUUCUGGCUCUCAGCGGGUCUUUGCUCCCUCGAUUAGAGAUCACUUACUUGCAUAGACUGGGAGCUAUCGGUGCUGGUUGCUAAUAUUUCCAGUCCUCUCUUUGGAAACACAGGGAAUUGCAUUUCUUUAGCUCCCUGAGCUUCAAUCUGGCCAUAUCCAUUGUUUUUACCAGUGAAAUGUGCACAUAAAUGACAUUUCACAUGAGUCACACAAUGAAUCCCCAGGGCUCGUUGCACGACCCUCUCUCCCGGCCCCAGCAUCAUGGAAGUCUAUUUUGAUAAGGAGGCACUUUGUUGAAUCAUUGUAAGAAGGAAACCUUCCCUGGAGAGGCACCUGGGGUAAAAUUAUUAUUUUUAAAAAAGUAAUAAUAAUAAUAGUAGUGAUAGGAGUAGAUAUUAUUUGUUUCUCUGAAAGCUACUGGGAUUUAGGGGUUGCUUGUUAUUGCGGAAUGACCCAGUCUAUCCUAACUAAUGCGACAGCUAGAUUAACCAUCAUGAACUGUGCUGACAGGUCAGAGGGUGGGGUAAGUCAGCACAUGUCCAUCUCAGGAAGGCUGACACACAGAGUUCAUCCAGGUAUUUCUGUGCAAGCCGAAGCCCUUCCUGGAUGAGCCCGUACCAUUCACAUAGAUUGUCUCAAUUCUCACGACAGCGCUAUGUGAGAAUUAAAUGGGAGAGAUAGUACCACCCACAUUCUCACAUUUCACAGAUGAGAGAGUCAUAGAGUUCAUGUCACUCGCCCAAGAUCACAUUCAAGUGGCCAGGGUGACACCACAGCCCAGGUUCCUUCCAGCAUCCUACUGCCUCUCAGGAAGCUGGCCUAGAAUUCCUCCUCCACUGAUGAAAGUAGUUCACGCACACUGCCACAAAACCAGAGCCCACAAGGGCGUGGUCAUUAGUGCUCCUUUUAAAAUGUUAGUUCUCCACUUAGUCUCACUGAAGUCUGAAUCAAGGGUCAGGGUGUGGGGGUGGGGUUCCUUUCAAAGUCAAAGAAACAGGUAAGAAGUUGUGGAUGGAAUGGGGCAAAUUAAUUCCAAUAUCUGAAAAAAACAAACCAGAAAAUUGGUCAGCAGGGUCCUCAUUAUGCAUCAAACACAGGCAAGAUUUCUAUGUGGCAUAUAUAUUAAACAACAGCCACCCCAAACCCCGCAGAAUUCCAAAAGCUCUCAAAAUGUUGUUCACUCUAUUUUUCUAGGGAAAAAAAAAGUGGUUGUAACCCAACCAGGCAAGUGUGUGUUUGGCUGGUGCCUGGGUCUGGGUGAACUCCCAAGUUUCCCUUUGCUGAGAUGCCUUACAGCCCACCCCAGAGCGUCCACACAGCAGCGAAGUCCACAAAAACAAGGGCCCUGGUGACCCUGCUCAAGGGUAGACCCCGGCUCAUGGGCAGGCAGUGAGCCUUCGGAGCAUUUGUUAAACCAGUGAAUGACCCCUGACUCCCCUCAGUACAUAACCACAGAACGAAGAAUGAGAUCUCCAGGAGGCACACUCCACAGUGAGCUGCUGCUCUUCUCUCCACCGUGGAACCCGCCAGGCCCCGUGACAGCCACAAGGCAACUGGACUUUUUGGAGUUUCCGUUGCUUUAAAUAAAUCAUCCCUAAUAUUGCAGGUCUGAUUCCAAUACAUGUGUCACCCAUUCCACAGUGAAGAUGAAAGAUGAGAGUCCCCAGAGAGGCUGUACCAAGUCUACAAAAUGCCCAUCAGCUCGGGAGGCUGAGGCCAGGGGAACACAAGUUCAAAGCCAGCCUUAGUGAGGAUAUGAGCAACCUAGCAAGACCCUGUCUCAAAACAAAAGCUAAAAAGGACUGGGGAUGUGACUCAGUGGUUAAGUGCCCCUGGGUUCAAUCCCUGACACACACACACACAAGGAUGUGAGACACGUCCUGCAUAUACAAGUGUAUGUCACAGGAGUCAGGCUCCAAGAACUACAGUUUGCCACAAAUGUGAUCGUUCUCUUUUGCACUAUCACACCAACUGUGGACCCAUAGUGGAAUUUCCUUUAUUCUUUCAUUUAUUUGCAUGCAUAACGUUUGGGGGAAAAAUCUGAAUAAGGGCCAGGCAUAGUGGAGCACACCUGUAAUCCUAGUGGCUCAGGAGGCUGAGGCAGGAGGAUCUUGAGUUCGAAGCCAUCUUUAGCAACUUAGCGAGACCCUACCCCUAAUUAAAAUAUGAAAAAGGGCUGGGGAUGUGGCACAGUGGUUAAGCGUUCCUGGGUUCAAUCCCUGGUACCCCCCAAAAAAAGUUUUGAAUGAAUGCUUUAUCUACUAGAAUCAUAUGCAAUGGAAUUGCCAUCAGGGUCAUGGAUGUAGGCAGAUUGGGGGCUCUUUGCAAACAGUCACAUAAGACUCAUUUUCCAAAAACUCCUUUUAGCACCUUGCCUUGCAUCAAAUAGGUAUCUAGCAUGAGCCUGUCCUAUAGGCUAAGUAUCCACUCAUUUCCUACAACAAAACUGAGUUUCUCCUCAUGCAAACUCCACAGAAAACAGGUGGCUGUCAGAUCUUUAAUGGCGGGAAAUUGUUGGUUUUGAUUUUAAGAUUCACUGUGAUCUUUAGACUCGUUAUAGACAACACUUUAUUUUUAACUUUCAAAAUAAACACAAAAUUACAGAAAUCCAGGAGGGCACGUUGGUGGCCUAAUGUCCCAUCACCCAGAAUACUUUACUGCAGGUUUUUCCUGCCGUCAGGGACGGUUCUCCUACAGGACCACAAUACAUCCAUCAAAGAAAACUAAUAUUGACAUGGGGUGUCCCCGAAUCCUUAGACACCAUUAAGUCUCUCCAAUAGCCUCAGAGAUGUUCCUUAUAACCCAAGGAUCCAGUCCAGAGCCACGCAUUGCGGCCCUUCACCUGUCUUUAGUUGGAAAGAGAUGCUGGACAUUUUCCUUUUCUGAUCCCAACAUACUUCUGAGGCAAGCAGGAGCUGCACCCAGCAGGACAUUACUCCCUGUGGACGCUGGGCUGCUCCCCAGGUUAGACUCAGGCUGUGCAUCUUGGGUAGCACAGAGGGGCCCUGAGCGCCCUUCCCCCCCUGCUAAGUGGUGCACGAUUGCACUUUGUCCCUCACAGGUGGCCUCGGGUCCCUGCUUCCAGUAACGUUGCCAGGCUUCUCCCCUGCAGGGCGAGUUUCCCCCUUUCUAGUGACAACCCAUGUGGAGAAGUGAAACUUCAUGGUCGGAUUUUCACAUUGCUUAUUAAUACGUGAGGAUUCGUUGUUUCCUGUUUGGUUUGAUGGGUUAAAACUGGUGAUAUAAGUUUGCAUGAUGAGGCUCAAGUUGUCCUGGGCUUGGGCCAGGUGGAACCUCGCCAGCCGGCUCCGGGCCUUCCCACACGACUCCCCAGCUCUUCCAGUGAUUUCUGGCCUCUGGCACACCAGCGCCUUCCAGGGAGCGCCCACCCCAGCCCCAGAGCAGCCAUUUCUCCAAAGACAGAGCAAGAAGGAAACUUAAAGAAAAUCUAAUGCAACCAUCUUUUUAAAAGUUUAAUAGCUAUCUAAUUUCUAAGGAUAAUUUUGCUUAUUCUAAGAGAAAUUGAGUUCUAUUUUUUUAUUUUCAGUGGCAGAAGGUCCGUGAGUACCUGGAGUGAUGGAAAACUGCAUGUGGCAUUUUCUACGUGGCUGAUGGCCGGGAGAUAGUUGUCUUUGUCCCUCUCAGUGUUUGUCUUGCUCUUCUAUGAGUCUCAGGGACUGGCAGACGCAGGUGACGGCACUGUGAGUCAACGGUUUGUUCUGUGCGGUUAAAACAGGAAGAGUCAGUGACUCUAUUCUUCAAACUAAUAACUACGAGAAAAUAAAUCAAUCCCAUUAUUGUCACCCCCCCCACACACACACACACACACUCAGGACAUGUGGUCUUGAGGCCGGGGCAGACUCAGGGAUGGCAAUUGAGCUGGGAUCAGCAGAGAGGGGUGGCAAAGAACCAGCACCUUCAGGAGACUGAUUCGCUUGCGGAUGGAAGGAGUUUAUAGAGGUGCAGUAGGAACACAGCUGUUUCGGAAAGUGCAUGGAUUUGUUUUUUCAGCUACCAAAUAUCUUUUAGGUAGGUCAAGGUCAAUUGCAAAUAAUAGAAAACCCAACAAGAGUGACCUAAGGGAGUAGAGGUAGAUUUUUCUUACAAGUUUGGAGGUGAGAGGUUACUUAUGGUGGUGAGUCGGCUGAUUCCUUUGGUCUUUCCCUCAUGACCCCAAGAUGGUAGUGCAACUCCAGGCAUUACAUCUGCGUCCAAGACAAGAAAAGUAGCAUUGAUGGACAAUUUGUCAUCUUUUAUGGGGAAAAUCAAAGCUAUCCAGAGCCCUGCUUCACACUAACCCAGUAGGUAUUUGCCCACUGACCUACCAGUUUUCACACCUUUCCUCUCAGAGGCAAAGCAACCUGGGAAAGUAAGUAUGAACCAGGGUCUCCCUUUUAGAGGAGAGGGAGAAAGGUAAAAAGUGAGUAGGAAUCAGGGUUGGCCCACCCAGCCUUUUGUCAACCACAAGAGCACUGGCUGGUUACUUUCCACAUAUAUUAAGGAGGCAAGAGAAGUUUCACUUGGAACUAGCAAAACCUUCCCCAACCUUUAAGUCAGGCAACACAGGCCUCUGUGUUUCAAGAGCUUCAUGCUAAGAAAUGCUCAUUAUGAUGUGUCUCAGAGAUUGAGAUAUUUGGUUGCAUGAGACCUGGAGACAGACCAGAUGAUUCUAUUAGCUCUGUGAUCCUUUGAUUCACAAUUGCAAACUUACGUUCUCUACCUUUCACAGCCUGUGAAGUACCAAAGAAUGUAGGAUGGCCAUCCCCCCAGUUUCAGCCCUCCCUCCUCCACCCACCUCGUAGGGAAGCUUGAAAGGUGCUUUGUUUUAGCAAUUCUAAGCGUAAUGCUGUUCCUCUUAUUCAAACACGGUUUCAAGUCUGCAAGACAAAAGUACUCAAUAAAAGUGAGAUAUAAGCAAAAUAUCGGGAAAUCAAGAUGUGUUUAGUUUACCAAAAUGCACUGGGAUAAAGCUGAGAGUUCCUACCAGAUAGAAGAGAAGGCAUGACUUGCAUAUGCUGUGGGCACUUUACAGUCACAGAACUUCUCUAGACAUAAUAUUAUACAAGACUGUGUGUUAUGCUUAUUUUUAAAGUAAACACAUUUGUAAAUCAC
Molecule: long non-coding RNA, 5258 nt
Filed under: Marmota monax (woodchuck)
Lineage: Eukaryota; Metazoa; Chordata; Mammalia; Rodentia; Sciuridae
Source: RNAcentral